Molecule: long non-coding RNA, 208 nt
Filed under: Manihot esculenta (cassava)
Lineage: Eukaryota; Viridiplantae; Streptophyta; Magnoliopsida; Malpighiales; Euphorbiaceae
Description: long non-coding RNA (MESC_LNC002218)
Source: RNAcentral
AAGGAGGCGCUCAGGCCUCGGGGUAUGGUUUUCCACCCCAUUAUCCACCCUUUCCACAGGGUUCAGGGUAUCCGAUGGGAGGCACAUCGGAUUACUCCAGUUUUAACCCCUACCCUACCUAUAUGCCUUAUCCACCUUUCUAUCCACCUUACACACAGUACCUAGCUUAUCCACCCUCACCCUUCUAUCCUAACCCGGCAAACCCCAC